This 1149-nucleotide unclassified non-coding RNA is filed under the name Hevea brasiliensis (rubber tree). Lineage: Eukaryota; Viridiplantae; Streptophyta; Magnoliopsida; Malpighiales; Euphorbiaceae. The record is from RNAcentral.
GUGCUUCUACUUGGUGGGAAUGGCUACAAUCUAAAAGGAAGCGAGAAAGGAAAGGGCCAGUCCGUAUAUGGUUUAUAAUGAAGUAUUUGUUGAAACAAUAAUUUUUUUCUUUAAAUUAUGAGCAGAUUUUAUUCCAACAAAAGCUUUGCAAAGAGAAGGUCCAACCAAAGCCUUUCUUGAUUGUGAAACAAGAAAGUGAAGAACAAAAGGAGUUUGAAGAUCAACAAUUCAACUUGAAGUAGAUGAGCCUAAAUUUAAAGAAUUGGAACCGAAAACUUUAUUUAAAUUUCCUUUUGCUAUGGUUGAAGAUGAAGACCUUGAAGAAUGUGUUUUAGGGAACAACUAAGAUAAUGCCAUGAAAAUUUCAAUGGUACUCGAGGAAAAACAAUCCAUGGAUGCAGUAGUAGAGAUUGAAGAAACUCAGAUCAUGAAGUUGCUGAAAGUUGAAGAUUUAUAUAACUCUUUAAUUCCAAUGGUUUUUGUUGAUUCUAUUUGUCCAAGUAUUUUCAUAAAUACAAAGAAAAACAUGAAGAUCCUCAAUUCCACUUUGUUCAUGUCAAUCUUAUUGAUUCCAUCCAAGAAAGUUAUAUGGUGCAUAUUUCCAAAGAAGAUUCUCAUUCUCUUCCAUUUCAAAAUUCGAAGAAAGAUUUAUUUCUAGUGGGGGAGAAUGGUGCUAGAGUUGUUAUGGUUGUGUUUUUGGAUCCUUGCAAGUUACUUUAACUCGAGGACAAGUUUUUCCUUAAGUAGGGGAGUAUGAUGCAGAGCAUUUUUGGGUGAAGAAGCAAGUCAAACAACAAUGAAAGCAUGUCGGUGAGAAAGGGGGCAAAAGUAGCAAUUUUUAGCAAGUUUGGGCAAAGUUGAUUUUUGGGACAGCAAAUCCCACACCCAAGUGUGAGAUUUGCCACACCCUAUGAGAUUCUCUGGACAAAAUGCAGCAAUGUUUUUUUAAGUUAAUUUUCAUCUCCAACAGUCCUAAUUCACCUAUGACAUCUUAUGAAAACUUUCAGCAGCUGUAGAGAUCAGAUGAAAAUUAAUUAGGAAGUCUCCUUAAUGCAGUAUGGGAAGAUAGAAUUUAAGAAUUAUUCUCAUUGUAAAAUUAGAAAAUUUAAGAGUUUUAUUCUUUGAGAAUUUUAUUCUUAUUAGGUCUAU